This 481-nucleotide ribosomal RNA is filed under the name uncultured Actinomycetales bacterium. RNAcentral's name for it is "bacterial SSU rRNA". It matches the Rfam family "Bacterial small subunit ribosomal RNA", at positions 28 to 523 of the family's 1533-position model. The record is from RNAcentral. Lineage: Bacteria; Bacillati; Actinomycetota; Actinomycetes; Actinomycetales.
GACGAACGCUGGCGGCGUGCUUAACACAUGCAAGUCGAACGGAAAGGCCCUGCUUGCAGGGUACUCGAGUGGCGAACGGGUGAGUAACACGUGGGUGAUCUGCCCUGCACUUCGGGAUAAGCCUGGGAAACUGGGUCUAAUACCGGAUAGGAGCCAUUUUUAGUGUGAUGGUUGGAAAGUUUUUUCGGUGUAGGAUGAGCUCGCGGCCUAUCAGCUUGUUGGUGGGGUAAUGGCCUACCAAGGCGGCGACGGGUAGCCGGCCUGAGAGGGUGGACGGCCACAUUGGGACUGAGAUACGGCCCAGACUCCUACGGGAGGCAGCAGUGGGGAAUAUUGCACAAUGGGCGCAAGCCUGAUGCAGCGACGCCGCGUGGGGGAUGACGGCCUUCGGGUUGUAAACUCCUUUCGCUAGGGACGAAGCUUUUUGUGACGGUACCUAGAUUAGAAGCACCGGCUAACUACGUGCCAGUCGCCGCGGUAA